UUCAAAAUCUUGGUCAUGCAGGAGGAGCCAGAGGGAAAGAAAUAGCUGGGCGGUUAGAAAUGUGGCUUCAGCAAGACCACGGCGUUUGCUCUGGGCAUUGAAUGACAAGAUGAUUUGAAAUACGCAGAGAAGCUGGAGGCUGCUUAAGGAAAAGUAUGAGCCAAGUUUCCAAAUCUGGAAAGCACAGCCGGUCAUCGGCUCUUCCCAGAGCCUGGCCAAUGCUUCGCUGAGAAGGCCUCGCAGCAGCCCCCGAGGAUGAAGGAGGUGGGGGUCCUUGUGCUACUACUGUGACCUCUAGAAGAGAGAGGGCCAGGGCCCACCCACUACCCCCCAGCCCACCGCAGCCAGAUCCUGCGAAACUCCAGGCCUGGGCUGCCUUCAUCUUUAUAAUGAAGCUUAAUUUAUACUCUGGAGCAGAGUGCUGUGUAAUGACAUACAUGGCCAUACGCUCGGGAAGGAGUGGCAGGUUAAAGACUCAAUUUCCUGGCCUCUCCAGCUUUGCGUCACCCUGCUUAAUGAUAUUUCAACAUUGAAAGUAUCCCAGUUGCGUCUUCUGAAGCUGAGUCUCCUGUUUUAUGGUUCAUCCAAAUGUGCAGUGCUCAUCUGACUCGCUCAUCACCAUGCAGUGGGGCUGCAUGGAUGAAGCUAAUUUGUGCCGGGCCUAUUUGGAAGCUGGUGUUCCCGUCAUGAAGACUCAGAGGUAGGGCACUCAACUGAGUGAACUCUAGGUAGGAAAGAACAGUGACCACAGAAACGUAGUGUCUCUCUGAAGCUGGAAAUUUGAUCCCAGGUGAAAGCAACCCAGCAGCUGACUACUCAAUGUCUACUGUGUAGUUCCAAGGUUUAGUUCAACUGACUGCAGAUCACCGAAACCUCAGCUAGACCCUGGUUCAAGGCUUUUGGUGGUAGAAGAAGUUAUGUGUGCAGGCUUCACUGUCAGAGAGACUUAGGCUUUGCUCUCCGCUCUUAUGCUCUCUAGCAGAGCCAUCUUGGAUGAAUUGCUGAACUUCACACCAUAAUCUGGAUGUGAUAAUGUUUACUAUACAGACUUCAGGUAAGGAUUUAAUUGAGAUCAUAGACAGAAAGCACUAAGUAAGCAUUCCCUAACCCAUGCUAAUGCACAAAACUUGUUGGUUACUAUGAUUACAAAAGCUGCCACAACAUCUCUCUUGAAGCUUAUAGUGUAAGGGGAAAAGGGGUGCCGGGCACAAAGUUCCUCUAAACAGAGUUGAGCAAUGCUUUUAAGAACUGUUGGAAAUAGAUUUUACUAUCCCCAUUCUUCCCAUGAGGACAUGAAAACCCCUAAAACCUAAAGUUUUGCUCAAGGCCACAUAGCUAAUCAUAGGGCCUGGAUGAAAAUCUGUGUCCGCUGGAACUGUCUCCCAUUAAAGGCCAUGAACUUUCCAUAACAUCAGCAGCCACUUCUGACUUCUCACUCUUCCACGGAGAGGCUGGACACUGGGGAACAUGUUGUUUCAACUAAUUUUACCUUUGUUAUCACAUUCAGUAAGUGGUAUUUAUGUUGGCUGUCCUUUAUGUCUCAUUUGAUUAGGCUUCAGGAGAACAAAUGAUAUAGUAGUCACAAGAAGACUUGAUAAAACAGGAUAUUCCUAUCUCAAUUUUUUUUUCUGGCUUUCUCUUGAUUUGAGGAGCCCAUAGGAAGAACAAAUAAAACCAAAGCAUGAGUGGGUAAAAGAAUGCCCAUCAGUAAAGCAGCAAACGAGCUUUGAGCUCUUUGGAGAAUUCCAUUAAUAAAAGUACUUUUGCACUUGCCACUGUUGACAGAGAUGGAGGACUUGGGUCUCCUAACACCGUCAAGCUGCACCUUUGUGUAACACAUCUAAUCCACUACAGAGGGACAACUUUCAACUGAUGCCUACAGUUUUUCCUUCUCUGAAGCUUAGUGACAUUCAUCGUUUUCUUCUCACAUUUUCUUUUAAAUGCCCCAGUGCAUGACUACCUUUUCAAGGGUUUGUCCCUUUUCAGUAAGAGAGAAAUCAACUAUAGCAGACACUGGGAGGCAGGGUCCACAGCUCUCCCAAGAAUGACAAUAAUGUGAUGGUUUAGGCAUCUGACCCUUACUCAUUGCUCUCUCCAACUCUGUUCCAUUUUGAUAUUAAUUAAAAACAGUUUUAAUCUAAAACCCGUCUAUCAAAAGAAGAACUGCUUGAAGCAAUAUAUGCCUCCUGAAGUCAAUGUCAUGUGACUUUACUCCACUUGAAUUACCUGAAGCAAGACAGUAGUAGUAAUAGCUAUCAUAGUCCAGCUACCAUUUCUUUU
Homo sapiens (human) is the source of this 2280-nucleotide long non-coding RNA. RefSeq lists it as uncharacterized. Lineage: Eukaryota; Metazoa; Chordata; Mammalia; Primates; Hominidae. The transcript has 3 exons. The record is from RefSeq and is a predicted model, not a curated record.